Molecule: small nucleolar RNA, 84 nt
Filed under: Amazona aestiva (blue-fronted amazon)
Lineage: Eukaryota; Metazoa; Chordata; Aves; Psittaciformes; Psittacidae
Description: Small nucleolar RNA SNORD53/SNORD92
Rfam family: Small nucleolar RNA SNORD53/SNORD92
About the family: U53 is a member of the C/D class of snoRNA which contain the C (UGAUGA) and D (CUGA) box motifs.
Source: Rfam by way of RNAcentral
UUGCUGUGAUGAUACCUUUAAUUGUGGUUUCAAGUUGCUGAGUGUUGAAUGAGGACAUUAAAUUCCUUGGCUGUGUCUGAGCAU